Eriocheir sinensis (Chinese mitten crab) is the source of this 7185-nucleotide long non-coding RNA. RefSeq lists it as uncharacterized. NCBI's taxonomy places the organism in Eukaryota, Metazoa, Arthropoda, Malacostraca, Decapoda, Varunidae. The record is from RefSeq and is a predicted model, not a curated record. The transcript is spliced from 2 exons.
AACAAAGUGGGUAAAAGUAUUAAGGGAGUAUUUAGUGGAAUGUCAAAAAGUGUUUGAUUAAAAGCUGGAAUCAACAUGUUGAGUUUACUUAAGACUCAGGAUUGUUUCUUUCAGAUUCGGUGAUUUCAGUGGGCAGGACAGGCUUCUGGGCUGUGUGCCACAUGCCAAAAUAGCCAGAGCUGGUGUUCAUGGGCUAUGCAGGUAAUAGGCCUUGAUUUAGUUUCAUGGACACUAAACCUUUUAUUUAACAUGAGAUAUGUACCAAAGAAAUUCACAUUAAAUGGAAUUCAUUAGUGUAAUUUCAAUGGGAUUUAUUAAUUGGAGACUGGUGGGACUGGGUUGGCUCAAGGAAAUUAGAUACAAUAUAUACUGCUACAGUGCUGCUGCAAACAGGAGACAGUAGAGGUAGCUGAAAGAAAAUGUCAGACAGUGUGUAGAUACUCCAUUCUCGAAGGCAUUUAUGUCAUAAGGUGAAGGUGAUACAGAUGAAGCAAGGCUAUUCCAGAGUUUACCAGCAAUUCUGAUUAAUUCUUGCAUAAAAGAUUAAGACACUAAGGGGAGAUGCAGUAGAGUAGAGCCAUAUAAGUAUAAAUUCAAACAGCUAUGGAGCACAGCUAUGCAACAGGGCAGUGAGGGCAUGGAGGCAGCGGUGAGAGAAGUGGUGAUUGUAAUCAAGCACUGGACAGCACAGAAAACUAAGGCGCACCAUGUGCGUGUAUAAGUUACGAGCUGAAUCCGGUGCACACAAAUUUAAGCUAUCGUUGAAUUUGAAACUUGAUUUAGCAGUUGCCUGUGUGUGUAUUCAAUCGAAAAAUAAAAUCAACCAACAAGCAGGCUGCAUUCCCUUUCCCCUACACCAGGAGGGUAAGAGGUUUAGAAGAGGAUUAACCCUUUCCAUAUGGUGAUGCCGACGUCGGCGUCACCGUAUUGAAGGAGUUAAUUUAUUGAUCCCCACCAACAGUUGUAGGCAAAUAAACACCUUCAUAUUGUUCAGGGUAACAUUACGCCACUUCAGUCCCACGAAUUUGUGAGGGUUUUUUAAUGGAUUUUCCCUGAAGUACUUCUGGGCCCGCUCGUUGGUCCACAAACAGAGUCGAUGACAUCAUAGGUAAUAAAAAGCUGAAAACAGCCCACAGCACUCGGGUUUUUCCCUGUGAAGUGUAGGUAGUGGAGAUGGCCUUUGGUCAACAAACAGAUCUGACAAGAUAGUGAAGGCAGGCCACAUGUCACCCAGCAACAAUGGCGAGGCUACUCAUCUCACUCUCUCCACUUGUACUAUAGGUAUUACUGUCAUUUUCUGGGAUAUAGUCAUCAUCUGAUUCACCCACUGAUAUGUCUGACUUGAGUUUCAUCAUCAUCAGACCCUUCCAAUUCACUAGCAAGCUGUGAAUGUGACAAAGCCAUUAUGAUAACAAAAACAAGGCGUGACACCACGGGACCUCACACACGUAGAUUGAGGGGAGGUCAGUGGCCCUGAGGUGAUUGUGGGUGGCGUGCAUUGUGCUAAGAUGCCUAAUAAAACUACAGGUAACUCGAUUUACGUGAGUAUUGUGUUCUUGAAGAGGUCACGUAAAUCAAAAACAAUGUAAAUCAAACAAGAGGUAGGUUUGUACCUUUAUAGCCUACUGUAUCACUCUGACUCUCCCUCUCGUGGUUCCUCCUCUGGCUGCCCUUCCCCUUGUGGUUCCUCUUCUCACUGUUCUUCCUCUUGUCCUUUCCUUUUGAAGAAAGAAGUCAUUGUUGUCUGCACCGUCUUCCGUUGUUUUUUUCGCAACAUCUCUUGAUAACACCCAAAGUCUGCCAACAUUUUGCGAGAGACUGCAGAGCUUCUCUGUACAUUUGGGUCAUUUUCUUCUAUUAAAUCCAGUGCUUCUCUUAUUUUGUUCAUAGCUUCUGAUAGCACCUUAAGUGUAAGCACUCGUUCUUGUUCUGGAGCUCCUGAUGCUUCUGCUUCCUCCUGUUCCUUCACUCGCACUCUCUCCAACUCCAGUAGAUCUUCAUUACUUAAUUCAACACGAUGAGACUGUAGCAACUCAUCAAUUUCAUCUUCCUCUACUUCGUCAAAUCCAAGCUUCUUGGCCAGUACCACCGUCUUUUGUUUUGCAGCUGUAAUGUCGUCUUCAACAGAGAAUCCUUUGAACCUGUAGACAAACUGUGGGCAGAGUUGUUUCCACACACUAUUGAGGCACUUGGAUGGCACAUCAUCCCAAGCCAUCUUCAAGAAAUUGAGAGCAUCCUUUAUGUUAAAGUUACGCCAGUAAUCCCUCACACUGAUGCCUUUCUCGUUUGUAACUUUCACCAAGUCAGCCAAGGUAGAUUGGAGAUAAUAGGAUUUGAAUGUCUGUAUUACACCCUGGUCUAAAGGUUGAAGUAGGGAUGUUGUAUUUGGUGGCAAAAAUACAAGUUUGAUGUUUUCGCUGAUGUCAGUCAGUGUAUGUGGGUGGCUGGAAGCAUUAUCCAACACCAGCAAAAUCUUGAAAGGGAUGCCUUCUUGUUUACAGUAGACCUCCAACUCGUGGUGCAGCUUAUUCUUAUAGUAGUCGCUGAACACAGACGAUGUCAUCCAACCCUUCUUGUUUGCAUACCAGUGACAGGGAAGGAAGGACUUGAAAAAGACACAAGAUUGUAGAAACAGAAAAUGAGAAUCUCAAGGACACGCACGUGCAUGUGUGUGUGUGUGUGUGUGUGUGUGUGUGUGUGUGUGUGUGUGUGUGUGUGUUGUCCCUCCCUCCCUCACACACAACAGAAAAUGGGAAUCUCAAGGACGUGUGUGCGUGCGUGUGUUUUCAUUCACAUUCUCUAUUCUUUUCUCAUGUAUAAUCAUAUGCCACCACUAGUAAUGUAAUUACUAAAUAUAGAAAAAAUCUUACCUUGAGGGCUCUAGGAUUCUCUGAAUGGUAGAUGAGCACUGGUUUCAGCUUGCAGUUCCCCUCUGCAUUGCAUCCAAGCGGUCCUUGGAGGCUUUGAACCCUGGUGCUGUGGCUUCUUCUACAGAGAUGUAUGUUCUGUUGGGUAUUUUUUUCCAGUAUAAACCAGUCUCAUCUACGUUAAAAACUUGCUUGGCAGAAUAGUCCCCUUCUUCGAUGAUAGUUUUAAGGAUGGCAGGGUAUGCACUAGCAGCUUUCUUGUCUGCAGAAGCUGCUUCACCAGUCAUCUUAAUGUUGUGGUAUCCAUACCGCUUUCUGAAGUUUGCAAACCACCCUGAGCUUGCACUGAAAUGUUUUUUGUCAUCACCUUCAAGGUCAUCAUAGAUGGACUUCGCCUUAGCUUGAAGAAGGCUCAUGCUUACAGGAACACUUGAUUUGUUUUGAUGGUCAACCCAAGUCGAGAGCAGUUUCUCCAUUUUUUCCAUUAUUUGUGGCCUUGAAUAUGAAGUCGUCGUUGACAUCAAUGUUGAUCCUGCUUUCACACUGGCCCGAAUCUUCUCUUCAUUACUCCGAAUGGUACGAAGGGUGCUCUCACAUAUUACCAUAGCGUGAACAAUCACCGAUGUCUUCUGGCCCUUCUUAUAGCGGUCUAGCACUUCCAUCUUCUGCUCCAGUGUUAGAGAUUUCCUCGACUUCUUGGUGGCACUUCCUGCACCUUGAGAUUGUAAAGCACGCUUGGGAGCCAUGGUAAACACUUAAAUAAGAUGAGAGGUAGCACAGCAGUGAGGGUGUUGUUGUCGAGAAGCAUGGCACGUGGCAUGCGGGAAGAAUUGAGCUCAGCUGUGUGGCUGCGGCGCCGGGUGAGUCCAGUUGCGUGAGACAUCUUUUGGCCACUCCAUAAAAUAUCGCAUAUAAGUGGAAAAAACAUGUAAAUUAAACAUCUAUUUGGAUUUUGGACCCCGCGUUAUUUAAAAAACGCGUAAACCAAACUCACGUAAAUCGAGUUACCUGUAUUAUUUUCUACUUAUUUUUAUCAUGUAGGCCAAUAUAUAUAUAUAUAUAUAUAUAUAUAUAUAUAUAUAUAUAUAUAUAUAUAUAUAUAUAUAUAUAUAUAUAUAUAUAUAUAUAUAUAUAUAUAUAUAUAUAUAUAUAUGCCCAAAACAUUAGGAAUAAUCAAAUAUCCAAAAUACCCAGUUGACUUCAAUAAUGGCCUGAUAUAAACUUUUACAUGGUCGGAGCAAGGCCAUUACAAAAGAAAUGAUGUCAGAGUCAAGGCUACCAGUUCUCUCAACAACAUGUAUCUCAAUUAAUGCCCAAACCAACACUCCUACCCUCCUGUAACUUCCAAUAAUAAUCAGGUGGUUUACCCCUGUAAACCUAACGGUUUGCGGUUCCUCACCUGAAGUUUUUUGGGGUUUACUAGAGUAAACCUAAUCAAUUUCAGUAAUGAAGGGGUUAAAUUAAAUUGCAAACCUCUCCACAAAUGUAAACAAGGUGCCGAUCAUUUCUAAACCAACAAUGGCAACUCUUUUCUAAAGUAACAACACAUAACAGUAGUACUUACCCGGUACUUCAUAUAAAAUAACACCAGUCAGGAAGAAAAUUAAGUGACGACACUUAACCCUUAAACGGGAACAUGACUCCAGGUGGAGUCACGACUUCCUGGUUUCGAAAGGCGCGCUAUUUUUUUCACUCGCGCCUUGCAACAAAGCUUGUGUGGGAGAGUCGAUCUUCAGUGUGUCAUCAGACCUUGAGGGAAACAGAUGUGCUCCACGCUAGAGUUGCUCCUUCUAUCUUAAGUAAGGGCUGUGACGCCAGCUGGACCCACACCGUCCGUUUGUGAAUUUUUUUUUAGGGGGAACGUAGGGGGGGACAACAUUGUUUAUAGGCCUGUAUAUGUGAUAUAUAGGGCCUUAGUACCUGUACCUCAUGCUAAAUAUGUUCUGUGGGACUUGAUAAGAGUUCUCUGGGAAAGCAACAUCUCAUAGUGAUAGGUUUCGCCGGUUGUUCAUGCACCAACUUGCCAUGGAUAUGGCAAAACUAUGUGCUAUGAAGAGGUUGGAUAAUCCUAACCUCAGCAGAACACUGGUGACAACUAUCAAAAGCUGCUUCAACAUUGUUGAAGUUCAAGUCCAGCAGCCUACACCACCAUCCGGCAAGAAGAGGUGCCACAUUUGCCCUUGGAAGACUGCAAGCAAAUGUAGAACAGUUUGCGCAAGGUGCAACAAGGUAACCUGUCAGCGACACUAUGAGAUCUACUGCACAGACUGCCAAGAUAUGUAAAUAAAUGUUUGUAUAUUCACGGAAAAUAUAUUUUGUAUUUUGAUCAUAGGUAAUUUUGCUGGUAUGCAUAUUCUGUUUAUUUACUUGCUUAUUUACAAAAAAAAAAAAAAUAAAUAAAUAAAAAAUAUAAAAAAUUAUCAUUUUCAGUUAUUUCUAAUAGUAUAUAUUUAUUAUCAUAAAUUAUUUUGUGUGUAUGCAUUUUGUGUUUAUUUAUUUAUUUACAUGUUUAUUUAUAAAACCACAUGCAAGAAUUGUUCAUAUUCAUUUGGUCAGAGCACCACAUUUGGAUUGCAGGAUAGACUUUUUACACCAUUUAUUUGAAAGACCAACCAUUUUAGUUAGAGAAUAUUAAAUUUUCUUACUUUUCUUUUCGAAGGAUUCUUGUUUAAACAUUAUAUGGCAAAGUCACUAUUUUUUUCAAUAAAUUUUUUGUAAUAAAUCAUGAAAAUUAAAUAUGAUCAUAAAUUUCCUUGUUUUUACUUUCAUUGUCCUACAAGAUGUUUUCUUUUUCAAUUCUGAUGCAGUGUAACUCAAUAAAGAUGAUCCAUAUAUUUUUUUUUAAAUAUUUUUGCAGUGGGUCCAAAUGGAGUCACGGCUCUACUAGUGUGAGUCAAUUUGGGUGCUACCGUUUAAGGGUUAACCAUGCAUGUACCUCAACAAACUAGUGAAUGGCUGUACACCAAACUUGACGACACGCACAAGACCCAUUGUGUUUCCAUAGUGUGAGGCCAAGAAUCAUUGAGGUAAGACCAACCUUCUUCAUAAAACUGUUUAACAUUGUUUAGUUGAUAGAACACACUACAGUCGUCCCUCAAAUAGUACGGGGGUUAGGGACCCAGGACCCCUGUACUAUUCGAAAAUCCGUAUAAAAUUAGUGUCCCCCCUAGAAACACUCCUGGGCACUCCUACAGAAUCCGAGUCCCGCCUGGCUCAGCUGUUACCCACGGGCCCAAGUUGCCAGUUAUGCAUUUUCUGCUGCAGUCACAGUGUAGUGUUACCACACUGGGGGGGUCGACGGGGGCAAAAAACCCCCAUUAGAGGUCAGGAUAUUUAAUAUUCCAUUGGAGUAGUUUAAAUAUGCGUCCCUUAACUUAUAUGAUAUGGAGGCGUAAUGUCAUAUUUUAGAGGCACUGAGUCAAUCUCCACAAUUACCGUUUCGUAUCUUGUUUCAAGUAUGAAUUAGAGAGCAAUAGAAACUGUGGUACAGAGUAAGAGAGAGUGUGAGUGUAUGACAUGGCUCGCUUGCUGACAAUGUGGAAGGCAGCGCUGCCAGGAUGGCUCCGUUGCCCAGCGUGGAAACAGUACAGCAGAAAAUGCAUAACUGGCAACUUUGGCCGGCGAGUAGAAGGUGAGCCAAGCGGGAACCUGAUUCACGUGGUAAGCUCUCCCUAUCGCAACGUAACUCGUACCAAAACGUACCUUCUUCAAAAUCUGAAUUCUUCUGCAAGGUAAAUAGCUUUCUCGAACACAUUGGGGUGCAUUCAGCAGGUGUUUUGGCUUGUCUCUUGGGGCCCUUGUUCAUGUUAUGUGGUAAUGGAGAAGCGUAGCUGAAGUUGUGCACACACACGGACUUAGGGAAAGCGCAUAGGUUUCAAUCUGGCAAAACAGUGUUCCUGAUGUUGUGCACACACACGGACUGAGGGGAUAUGCAUGGGUGGGGCAGUCUGGUAGAACAGUGUUGCCACUCACGCCAUGGCUACUUGGUGCGAUGAGCGGGAAAUUUAAAAAUCCUAAAAAGAUCUUCCAUGACAAUCCGUAUAAAAUCGAAACCGUACUAUUGGAAACCGUACUAUUUGAGGGAUGACUGUAUAUGGAUAAUUUUGACAAGAUAUCGAAAAGAUAGGUUAAUAUUCAUUAUUUACAAGUGCCUGUUUUUCCAUUUUGCAUUCAUCUUUUAACAUUCUUACCUUAUGUACAUGUUCAACAAACCUUGAAAUUUCUUGAUUCAUCAUGGAUUCACAGAAACGACACACCUACAUGCCAUAUUAAAGCCUUUAAAUGUUAAAUAUUGAGAUUUAACAAAGAUCUGAACACA